ACAUCGGCAAGAGUGGGGGAAACAGGGCCAUGGCCAAAGACAAAGGCGUUGAGUGUGUCUGACCAGAAGUAUGAUGCAGCUAUCAGCAGCGACUCGUUCCGAUGCAUAUCCGCAAUAGACAACCUAAUGCAUUGGGCUAGAUAUCUUUCACCCCAUUGGACUUCAUUUGAAUUGCUGACUCUCAAAAACCAAUCUGUCCACCCCACGGUAGGGCUGGGCCAGGAACGAAAAGUAUCCUUCCACAGAUCCAAAGAAAAGUUCUCUGCUCUAAAAGAGAUCCUGUUGGUUUCUGCGUUUAUGAGGUCGGUUGGAUUUGGAUCCCCUAACGGGCCAAGGCAUUGGAGAUGUGGUCGAUCAGUGGGGAUGACAAUUUUGUUAGCCGAUUCCUAGUGGUUUUGAAGAUAUAAAAAAGAAAACAAAAAAAAGGAAGAAAAGGGGGAAAAUAUUCAGUACGGCGGAUUGCAGAUGAACGAGGGUGUGAGAAAAGUACAAGGGAUGGUGCGAAGGACUGACCUCAGGGAUGAUGAAGUUGACGGCCAUUUUGCCACGAAGGAGAAGCUUGAGAGUUUCGGAGUUGGUGAAGAAGGAGCCUCGUCGGAGAUCUUGGAGCUUUUGGAACAGUGCCGCCGCCGGGAAGGUGAGGUUGGAGUUAUGGAAUGAUGUGAUGGAGAAGGAGUACCCGAGAAGGAACUACUUAUAGGGCAAAACGUGUAGGGGCAAAUCUGACUUAUCUCUUUGCCGCAUCCGAGAAAUCCGAGGGUGCUCAGGUAGAUAUGGUGACUGUUCGCACGGUAAUCAAGGGAUUGUACAGGUGAUUUGACAGGAAGCGGUGCAGGAAGCGGUCAUUAUUCAUAGAUAUUUCACUGUGCGAGAUCUCCUGGUCGGUCCAUCGGCGGUGUCUUAUAACGGUCAAAUUGCCGAUGGGCAAAUAAAAUGGAGGUAGCCGUUUGGGA
RNAcentral lists this long non-coding RNA (953 nucleotides) under Sorghum bicolor (sorghum). RNAcentral's name for it is "long non-coding RNA (SBIC_LNC014588)". The record is from RNAcentral. Lineage: Eukaryota; Viridiplantae; Streptophyta; Magnoliopsida; Poales; Poaceae.